CGGGAGCCCCGGAAAGAGUUCUCUUUUCUUUUUAACAGUCGAAUGACCCCGGAAUUGGUUUAUCCAGAGAUGGGGUCGCCCGGCUGGCAUGAGCAUCCAACUUGUUGGGUGUCCGGUGCGCUCACGACAAUCCUUGAAAAGCCAAGGGCGAAACUUAUUCAGCACCUGUCCGUACCUAUAACCGCAUCAGGUCCUCAAGGUGAACAGCCUCUAGUGCUUGCAGUAACGUGGGUAAGGGAAGUCGGCAACUUUGGUCUGUAACUUUGGGAUAAGGACUGGCUCUAAGGGCUGCGUGUUCGGGUUCCGUUGGUUGAAGGUUCGUCUUGCGUCCGGACUACGGCGCUUGUCUGCUCUCGGGUGGGCUCGCUGCUGUGGACUGGUCCUUGGCGUGCUGGAUCCUUUGGAAUGGUGACGGGACUCACGGGUCUCGAAUCCUCCUCCCGUUCACAUUCAACAGCUAUCUUGGAACCGUUGCGGACAAGGGGAAUCCGACCGUUUAAUUAAAACAAAGCAAUGUGAAGGUCAUCA
RNAcentral lists this ribosomal RNA (528 nucleotides) under uncultured Symbiodinium. RNAcentral describes it as "partial Eukaryotic large subunit ribosomal RNA". It matches the Rfam family "Eukaryotic large subunit ribosomal RNA", at positions 1672 to 2173 of the family's 3401-position model. Lineage: Eukaryota; Dinophyceae; Suessiales; Symbiodiniaceae. The record is from RNAcentral.